Molecule: long non-coding RNA, 1587 nt
Organism: Homalodisca vitripennis (glassy-winged sharpshooter)
Lineage: Eukaryota; Metazoa; Arthropoda; Insecta; Hemiptera; Cicadellidae
Exons: 2
Source: RefSeq, a predicted model, not a curated record
UUUUGGAACGUUAUCAUUUUUCUACUUACGCGUUAAAUUAUCGCGUUAAAUUACCGUGUAUCUGAAGGCUACUCUAUAGCGUAAAAGUAACAGAACACUGCAUUUCUAUAUUUCAGUCCCACAAUCCUGCAUCGAUAACGGAUGCGGGACGUGGAAGUUUGCUGAAGCUCUAGUCCUCGAGCACGCGUGAACCCUGGGCAGGAAGAGGUGAACAAUUAACUCUCUCGCAGUCGUGUGGACUGAUAACCUCUGGACUGGACUCACCCUCGCCCUCAACCGGCCGCAGUUCACGAACCGCAGUCUUCACGGACCAGCAGUUCACCUUGGCAGGGUUAAGCACCCAGCAACUCGAGACUCUUGCCGAUGCGCAAUGUAGUUCAAGGAGAUAUUGAGACAAAAGGGCGCCGUGAACUAACCUCAGCAUAAAGCAUUGAUGUUACGUUCAAAUUUUGGUAGCAGAUGAGUGAUGCAACAGACAAGGUGACAGAAAUCAUCUUUUAGUCAGCUGGACCUGUGACUAGCAAGCUGACUCUGCUCAUGUUUAUCACACGCUCCGCACUCUUAUACAAGUGUGAGAUAAACGUUACCACGAGAAAGGCAAAGGCAUAAUAUAUUGUUAAAUAUAAGGAAAUGUGAUUUUUAGUUUAUUAAAGUGUUCAAAACAACUAUCAUCAUGUUUGUGGGGGUUUCGCAUGAUAAAUUUGCUUGCUUUGGAAUAAAGGCAUGUUUUGGGUGUUAUAGGGCAAUAACCCUCCUAAAUGCCCGAGUACUCACCAUGGAGAACGAAAUAAGCCAUGAGGACAAAACUUAAGAUGUCAUCGAAUAGCCUGGUUUACCAAAGACUUGGGCUAUCAAGAGACAGGGGAUUUUUAAAUUUUUGCCUAAACACAAUUCUCUAUCAGCUAUGGGAAGUGUCUAGCUCGACUUUUCAACAAAAUUAAAAUUUAAUUUUGGGGUGAUAUGGAAAGGGACAGAUGUCGGUGGGUGAAUGGUAUAUACAAUAAAUUGGUAGAUUAGUGUUUCCAUACAAAAAACUCAAAUCAUCAGGAUUUAAACAUGCCAUUUAUUAAGACACUAAAACUGAACUAAUUUGUCCGUAAUUAACUCCGUAUUACAUUUUAAUAUACUUAUAAUGACAUACAAGCACACUCUGACCACCUGUUGGUUAUAAAAUAUUCAGAGGGAUGUUUGCGUGAGAACUGUUUCGAUAAGUUUCUACAAGUGUACACAGUACACUGCCCGGGCAUCAUCAUAAAGAAUGGCUCGACUAUGAAUAAACCCUCUGUCUAAGUGGGACCAUCAAGUGUAAUGAACCACCAAGAGGCAGAGGCAGUGCGACGAUAGGGCACACACUGCGAGACGAGUAGCAGAUAGGGCACGAAGACCAGGUCUCUUGCAAACUCAGCCCUCUCGAGGGCUGUUUAACACACACAGCCUACAAGAAACGAUCCCUCCACUGCUCUUUUAUGACAUGAACCCAAUGAAUGCACCUUCAUUACUAGGAAGUGAAUGAAUAGCAAGAAACUGUUCUGUGCUUUAUAAAUUUGAUUAAUUUUUUAAAAUGAAUUAUAUUUAGUUAUACAUGUA